AGUCAACAUGCCCAGGGGACGUGGAUAACCUCGGGAAACUGAGGCUAAACCGCGAUAGGCCAAGAUUUCUGGAAUGGAUCAUGGCCUAAAUCUAUAUGGCCCCUGGAUUGGACUGCGGCCGAUCAGGCUGUUGGUGAGGUAAUGGCCCACCAAACCUGUAACCGGUACGGGCUCUGAGAGGAGGAGCCCGGAGAUGGGCACUUAGACAAGGGCCCAGGCCCUAUGGGGCGCAGCAGGCGCGAAACCUCUGCAAUAAGCGAAAGCUUGACAGGGUUACUCUGAGUGAUUUCCGCUAAGGAAGUCUUUUGGCACCUCUAAAAAUGGUGCAGAAUAAGGGGUGGGCAAGUCUGGUGUCAGCCGCCGCGGUAAUACCAGCACCCCGAGUGGUCGGGACGAUUAUUGGGCCUAAAGCAUCCGUAGCCGGUCCUGCAAGUCCUCCGUUAAAUCCACCCGCUCAACGGUUGGGCCGCGGGGGAUACUACAGGGCUAGGAGGCGGGAGAGGCAAGCGGUACUCGAUGGGUAGGGGUAAAAUCCACUGAUCCAUUGAAGACCACCAGUGGCGAAGGCGGCCUGCCAGAACGCGCUCGACGGUGAGGGAUGAAAGCUGGGGGAGCAAACCGGAUUAGAUACCCGGGUAGUCCCAGCUGUAAACGAUGCAGACUCGGUGAUGAAUAGGCUUAGUGCCUAUUCAGUGCCGCAGGGAAGCCGUUAAGUCUGCCGCCUGGGGAGUACGGUCGCAAGACUGAAACUUAA
RNAcentral lists this ribosomal RNA (754 nucleotides) under uncultured archaeon. RNAcentral describes it as "bacterial SSU rRNA". It matches the Rfam family "Archaeal small subunit ribosomal RNA", at positions 102 to 859 of the family's 1478-position model. The record is from RNAcentral.